This 73-nucleotide transfer RNA is filed under the name Firmicutes bacterium CAG:145. It matches the Rfam family "tRNA". From Rfam's summary of the family: Transfer RNA (tRNA) molecules are approximately 80 nucleotides in length. Lineage: Bacteria; Bacillati; Bacillota. The record is from Rfam by way of RNAcentral.
GAUUUGUUAGCUCAGCUGGGAGAGCACUUGGGUGACAACCAAGAGGUCGGCAGUUCGAUCCUGCCACAAAUCA